UUCAAAAUGAGGAAAUCGCUCUGUCUUGUUUUACUGAUCUAUAGUCAUCUGACCUCCGGGUCCUUGUCGAAAAGCACCGAUCAGGCAAUUACCAUGGAGUCCUUGGAUUCUCUGACAUCCCUGAUAUCAGCCAGAUACUUCAACGAGUCCUGUAUUUUGAUAUUUUCCUCUGAAAGCUCGAGACUAUUCCACUCGUCACCACGCGACGUAGUCAACGUGAAGUACUUCGACCUGGAUAAGGAUAACGAGGAUAAUUAUAUUCGGGAUGUACUCAUCCCUUCCAUGGAAAUCGGUUGCUCUGGUCACAUCAUACAGACGAUUAAUCCCCGUGUCCAAUUGACAUUAAUCGAACGUACUUACGUCAAGGUGUCACAGAGAAUUCCGCGUUUUUUCUUGGUAUUGCCGAUUUCGGAUAAACAAAUAAACAAUUUGUCCUGGACGCAUCCCGUUCUUCAAAAAGAGACCGACCACUUGUUCGACGUCUUCAAUUCCACCUCAAUAAAAUCUGUACCGAAUCUCCUGGUCGUCGUUCCUGCUGCUGACAGGAACAACUUUGUGUUGUACACGCAUAAGUUUGGCGGGCACGAUGACCUCUUCAGACAAAUGGUACUCCUUGAUGUCUACGAAGUAAGCGACGGAACUUUUUUAUACGGAGCAAACCAAUUCCCAGAUAAAAUCAAGGACCUUGAGGGUAGAACCUUCACCGCUACAGUCCUGGAAUAUGCACCCUACAUAGCUAAGGAUCCGUUGACAGGGUAUGAAUUUCCUCAGCUGCAUUUCCGCUUUCGUAGGAUCUACAUUGACGAAACCUUUUUCAGGGAAUUAUUCGGAACGGAAUGGAACGUCGUCGUGGAAUUUUGUAAUCGUCAUAACUGCACACUGCGGCCAUUGGUUGACAACGUUUAUCUCUUCGGAGAGAUAUUCGACAACGCGACGGGAAACGGCGUCCUCGGGAACGUAGUGGAGGACAAAGCUGACGUUGGUUUCGGCUCCAUAGAUUUGUGGUAUCACGAAUGGCUCUUCCUCGACCUUGGACCAGCUUUCGUGCGAACUGCAGUCACUUGCCUUGUACCUCCACCUCGUCCUUUGGCGCAAUGGGCAACGCCCAUAAUUCCCUUCGACGGACUUUUGUGGUACGCGGUGAUCACCUCGGUGAUAAUUGACGCUAUAACGAUCUACGUGGUCUUCUAUCUAACAAAUUGGAUCCACCGUUACUCAAAUUUGAAAGACGAGCAACGCCCGAUGACCCCUGUUUCAGCCUGUUUGGCAGCUAUCGGACUUUCUGUUGAGCAAAGUCUGAACACCGACGUUAACAGGGCAUCCAGUCGUGUGCUGGUAUUAGCCUUGCUCCUAGUUUCGCUCCUAAUUUCGACGUCAUACGGCAGCGGACUCUCCUCAGUUCUCACCGUUCCCAGGUUCGAAAAACCGAUAAACACAAUCGAGGAUCUCGAAGCUAGCGGAAUCAGGUGGUCAGCACCACACGAGGCGUGGAUAUUCUCGCUUUACGGAUCCAACGAAUCAUGGCUGCUCAAUCUGAUCGAUCACUUUGUUGUUCUUCCGCCAAACUUGACCACAGCGAAGGCCUACGAAGCAGAAAUGGGGUUUUGCGUCGAGCGACUUCCAGGCGGCAACUACGCCAUUCAGGAUUACCUACCGUCAGACGCUGUUGAGCACCUGCACCUUAUGAGCGGUGACAUUUAUUGGACGUACACGGUAUCGAUGUUGAAAAAAAGUUCCCCUUUUACGGAACGUUACGCUACCCUCGAGUUGGAACUCCUCGCUUCCGGAAUUCCAUCGUACUGGGAAGGACUCUGCACCAUGUUAUCCUUGGAUCCGAAAACGCAGUACGCUGUUCCUGACAAAGUCUUCGAUGCGCAUCCAGUACAAUUGAACAUUGCUCAGAUUCAGGGUGCUUUUUUGUUUUUAUGUUGCGGACUCACCUCUGCCGCUGUAACCUUCGUUCUGGAGAUUGCCAGACAAAGUCGGAAGGCCAGAAACAUUGCCCGGACUAUGUCCGGCCCACAGGAGAUGAGAGUCGUGAAAGUAAAGACGACUACGGAGGAUCAUUAAAACCUGAAGAAGAAUCGCCUUCAAGAUCCAAGGGGAUUCUAGUACCUCGACGAGUACGUCGGCCUUCAAAUUUAUGACUUUCAGAUCCACAACGUCCAAAUCGACUCAUGAAUGUUGCAGGAGGGCCUGUGUCUAGGCCACCAGAUAUGCCAAUAGGUUUAGAAUUACAACUGCAGCGAGAACUGCAUCAUUGACUGAAGAUUGUAACUGCAGUUCAUCGCCACUACCAUUCUAUGCUACUACGUGUUCCUACAUGUAUCGAUAUCAUUUAAGACUGACAUGACGUCAAGAUUAGUCACAAAGACAUGGCCUGGUAUCUAGUUACGAGAUAUGUCGGAGGUGUAAGUGGUACGAAUUACAUAGAAGGAGAUAAGAUAUUGAUCGGUUGGAAUAUUCGCGUACACUUGCGGCCAAAGACUUGCUUGUCGACUGUAAAGGUUGAAGAAUUUCUAUGCAACCCCCGAUGCGAUGUGAUGCCAGUGGUGCUAACAAUCAAUCAGCUUUCGGACAACAUCAGUAUCAGCAUCAGAGAACGUUAACACCACGGUUCUAAUC
RNA transcript from Athalia rosae (coleseed sawfly), 2625 nucleotides. RefSeq lists it as uncharacterized. The transcript has 6 exons. The record is from RefSeq and is a predicted model, not a curated record. NCBI's taxonomy places the organism in Eukaryota, Metazoa, Arthropoda, Insecta, Hymenoptera, Athaliidae.